AGGGUAUAGACCCGAAACCCGGUGAUCUAGCCAUGGGCAGGUUGAAGGUUGGGUAACACUAACUGGAGGACCGAACCGACUAAUGUUGAAAAAUUAGCGGAUGACCUGUGGCUGGGGGUGAAAGGCCAAUCAAACCGGGAGAUAGCUGGUUCUCCCCGAAAGCUAUUUAGGUAGCGCCUCGUGAAUUCAUCUCCGGGGGUAGAGCACUGUUUCGGCUAGGGGGCCAUCCCGGCUUACCAACCCGAUGCAAACUGCGAAUACCGGAGAAUGUUAUCACGGGAGACACACGGCGGGUGCUAACGUCCGUCGUGAAGAGGGAAACAACCCAGACCGCCAGCUAAGGUCCCAAAGUCAUGGUUAAGUGGGAAACGAUGUGGGAAGGCCCAGACAGCCAGGAUGUUGGCUUAGAAGCAGCCAUCAUUUAAAGAAAGCGUAAUAGCUCACUGGUCGAGUCGGCCUGCGCGGAAGAUGUAACGGGGCUAAACCAUGCACCGAAGCUGCGGCAGCGAACGUAUCACCCAAGACAACUUUACGGAGUUGACGAUUGACGGAGCGAAGCGACGUCAAAGCGUUCAUUAAAGUCGAGUUGGCUUAGGGAUACGUUCGUUGGGUAGGGGAGCGUUCUGUAAGCCUGUGAAGGUGUGUCGUGAGGCAUGCUGGAGGUAUCAGAAGUGCGAAUGCUGACAUAAGUAACGAUAAAGCGGGUGAAAAGCCCGCUCGCCGGAAGACCAAGGGUUCCUGUCCAACGUUAAUCGGGGCAGGGUGAGUCGACCCCUAAGGCGAGGCCGAAAGGCGUAGUCGAUGGGAAACGGGUUAAUAUUCCCGUACUUGGUGUUACUGCGAAGGGGGGACGGAGAAGGCUAUGUUGGCCGGGCGACGGUUGUCCCGGUUUAAGCGUGUAGGUGUGUGUUCCAGGUAAAUCCGGUUCACUUUAACACUGAGGCGUGACGACGAGGCACUACGGUGCUGAAGCAACAAAUGCCCUGCUUCCAGGAAAAGCCUCUAAGCAUCAGGUAACACGAAAUCGUACCCCAAACCGACACAGGUGGUCAGGUAGAGAAUACCAAGGCGCUUGAGAGAACUCGGGUGAAGGAACUAGGCAAAAUGGUGCCGUAACUUCGGGAGAA
This 1127-nucleotide ribosomal RNA is filed under the name Salmonella enterica. Its description in RNAcentral is "partial 23S ribosomal RNA". It matches the Rfam family "Bacterial large subunit ribosomal RNA", at positions 704 to 1744 of the family's 2925-position model. The record is from RNAcentral. Lineage: Bacteria; Pseudomonadati; Pseudomonadota; Gammaproteobacteria; Enterobacterales; Enterobacteriaceae.